AGACAAGCACCGGCGGACGGCUCAGUAACACGUGGACAACCUGCCCUCGGGAGGGGGAUAACCCCGGGAAACUGGGGCUAAACCCCCAUAGGAGAUGGAUACUGGAAUGUUCCAUCUCCGAAAGUCCGCAAGGAGCCCGAGGAUGGGUCUGCGGCGGAUUAGGUAGUUGGUGGGGUAACGGCCUACCAAGCCUAAGAUCCGUACGGGCCAUGGGAGUGGGAGCCCGGAGAUGGACCCUGAGACAAGGGUCCAGGCCCUACGGGGCGCAGCAGGCGCGAAACCUCCGCAAUGCGGGAAACCGCGACGGGGUCAGCCGGAGUGCCGAUGCUUGCAUCGGCUGUCGGGGAGCCUAAAAAGCUCCCCAUAGCAAGGGCCGGGCAAGGCCGGUGGCAGCCGCCGCGGUAAUACCGGCGGCCCGAGUGGCGGUCACUAUUAUUGGGCUUAAAGCGUCCGUAGCCGGGUUGGGAAGUCCUCCGGGAAAUCUGGCCGCUUAACGGUCAGAAUGCCGGAGGAUACUCCCAGCCUAGGGAGCGGGAGAGGCCGAGGGUAUUCCCGGAGUAGGGGUGAAAUCCUAUAAUCCCGGGAGGACCACCUGUGGCG
This 600-nucleotide ribosomal RNA is filed under the name uncultured archaeon. RNAcentral's name for it is "bacterial SSU rRNA". It matches the Rfam family "Archaeal small subunit ribosomal RNA", at positions 69 to 668 of the family's 1478-position model. The record is from RNAcentral.